Vicia faba (fava bean) is the source of this 228-nucleotide non-coding RNA. The record is from the annotation of a GenBank genome assembly. Lineage: Eukaryota; Viridiplantae; Streptophyta; Magnoliopsida; Fabales; Fabaceae.
AUGCGGUUGAAGAGGGAUUUGAGGAAGGCCUUAUACCUAGGCCUUCAUAUCUUGAAAGAGAAAUCGCUCCCAAUCUCAAAACUCUUUUCCGUAAAAAAACUUCUACACAUUUUCAUCUCAACAAAACCCUUCUCUGAUCCAUUCCCAAUUUUCUCUCACUCACGUCCUUUUCAUCUUCUUCACAAAUCCCAGGUUAGAGCUUUGGGUUUAUCUUUUCUGAUAUUUUGA